RNAcentral lists this ribosomal RNA (459 nucleotides) under Salmonella enterica. RNAcentral's name for it is "bacterial SSU rRNA". It matches the Rfam family "Bacterial small subunit ribosomal RNA", at positions 1 to 456 of the family's 1533-position model. Lineage: Bacteria; Pseudomonadati; Pseudomonadota; Gammaproteobacteria; Enterobacterales; Enterobacteriaceae. The record is from RNAcentral.
AAAUUGAAGAGUUUGAUCAUGGCUCAGAUUGAACGCUGGCGGCAGGCCUAACACAUGCAAGUCGAACGGUAACAGGAAGCAGCUUGCUGCUUUGCUGACGAGUGGCGGACGGGUGAGUAAUGUCUGGGAAACUGCCUGAUGGAGGGGGAUAACUACUGGAAACGGUGGCUAAUACCGCAUAACGUCGCAAGACCAAAGAGGGGGACCUUCGGGCCUCUUGCUAUCAGAUGUGCCCAGAUGGGAUUAGCUUGUUGGUGAGGUAACGGCUCACCAAGGCGACGAUCCCUAGCUGGUCUGAGAGGAUGACCAGCCACACUGGAACUGAGACACGGUCCAGACUCCUACGGGAGGCAGCAGUGGGGAAUAUUGCACAAUGGGCGCAAGCCUGAUGCAGCCAUGCCGCGUGUAUGAAGAAGGCCUUCGGGUUGUAAAGUACUUUCAGCGGGGAGGAAGGUGUUG